AGAGUUUGAUCCUGGCUCAGGAUGAACGCUAGCGGCAGGCCUAAUACAUGCAAGCCGAACGGCAAGUUGAGUAGCAAUACUUGACCUAGAGUGGCGUAAGGGUGCGUAACACGUAUGCAAUCUGCCCACAACAGGAGGAUAGCUCCCCGAAAGGGGAAUUAAUACUCCAUAAGAUCACGCGAGGGCAUCUGAGAGUGAUUAAACCAAAAGGGGUUGUGGAUGAGCAUGCGGUUGAUUAGCUAGUUGGUAAGGUAACGGCUUACCAAGGCGAUGAUCAAUAGGGGAACUGAGAGGUUUAUCCCCCACACUGGCACUGAGAUACGGGCCAGACUCCUACGGGAGGCAGCAGUAGGGAAUAUUGGACAAUGGGCGAGAGCCUGAUCCAGCCAUGCCGCGUGCAGGAAGAAGGCCUUCUGGGUUGUAAACUGCUUUUGCCAGGGGAUAAAAAGUCCCUGCGGGGAAAAUUGAAGGUACCUGGUGAAUAAGCCACGGCUAACUACGUGCCAGCAGCCGCGGUAAUACGUAGGUGGCAAGCGUUGUCCGGAUUUAUUGGGUUUAAAGGGUGCGUAGGCGGCCCUGUAAGUCAGUGGUGAAAUACGGCAGCUCAACUGUCGAGGUGCCAUUGAUACUGCAGGGCUUGAGUACAGACGAGGUAGGCGGAAUUGACGGUGUAGCGGUGAAAUGCUUAGAUAUCGUCAAGAACACCGAUAGCGAAGCAGCUUACUAGGCUGUAACUGACGCUGAGGCACGAAAGUGUGGGGAUCAAACAGGAUUAGAUACCCUAGUAGUCC
RNAcentral lists this ribosomal RNA (791 nucleotides) under uncultured bacterium. RNAcentral describes it as "bacterial SSU rRNA". It matches the Rfam family "Bacterial small subunit ribosomal RNA", at positions 8 to 796 of the family's 1533-position model. The record is from RNAcentral.